Molecule: ribosomal RNA, 253 nt
Filed under: uncultured bacterium
Lineage: Bacteria
Description: partial 16S ribosomal RNA
Rfam family: Bacterial small subunit ribosomal RNA
Source: RNAcentral
UACGAAGGGGGCUAGCGUUGUUCGGAUUUACUGGGCGUAAAGCGCGUGUAGGCGGGUCGUUAAGUUGGGGGUGAAAUCCCGGAGUUCAACUCCGGAACUGCCUCCAAAACUGGCGACCUGGAGCAGAGGAGAGGCGAGUGGAAUUCCGAGUGUAGAGGUGAAAUUCGUAGAUAUUCGGAGGAAUACCAGUGGCGAAGGCGGCUCGCUGGACUCUUGCUGACGCUGAGGCGCGAAAGCGUGGGGAGCAAACAAG